CAAUGAUGGGCCAUCCUAACCGACUUCACUUCUUCGCUACGCAGUUCUUGAUGCUGUCCUGGAUUCUGAAGCUAACACCGUGCUCCGAACAGCCUACCUGGAUUCCACUGCCUGCCGAUGAGGACGCCCCGCAUUGCCAUGGCGAGCUGCGCCGGACCUACCUCUACGGAACAUCGGAGUGCGCAUCACAGAUUACGCCACUUCUGUCGCUGCGGUGUCAUCGGCUGACGCCCUGGCUUCCUGGCACACUAUCUUCGAUUGACAGCGCCAUCUUCCCUCGGAUCCCCGAUAUAAAGCCUAGACAAACCAUCGCCACGCUCAGUGGGCUUGGCGGCACGUCAAUGAUGGGCCAUCCUAACCGACUUCACUUCUUCGCUACGCAGUUGGAGAGGACCGAAACUGGCAAGGAUAACAAGAGUAAGGAGGAGGAGGACAUAGAGUGGAGCCUGACUGAGUGGUGUGGGCGACACCACCAGGACUGGGGUGGCGUUACCGAGAUCACGCGAAUUCUGUGCCUCGUCAGCUUGUGAGUGGUGCGACGACGACCUGCUGUCCACUGAACGCCGAUGAUGAGCACAUUUUUAUUGACUGGUGGGGGAAAUUGAGAAGGGGCCCCUAUAGUCCACGGAUCCUAUGACGUCAUCGGCGAUGGCCCGUGCCCGUCAGAUCAGUGCCCGGUGGACCUCGAAGGUGCCAUCACGAAGGACGCCCUUCCACUGCUCUGUGGUGCGGGAUGCAAGAAGGGUACAGGGUAGGGACGGCAAAUGCCGACGGAAAUGAAGUUUUCCGGUCUGAAUUUACGUUCCCACUUCUUUUAGGCAACAGUUUUGCCCCCCUUUACUUACAAGCUUAUCAGCCGUGCUCCCCGACAACGUGAUCUGUGACAAGAGUGUUUGCAGCAUUUUGAUACUCGAUUUAACAUUACGAUGGUUGUUAAAUUAAUACUCAAUCUGACCAUUGAUUCAUUUGGUCACGCUAUACAUGGAGAGUUUGUUCAGAUUGUUUUGUGCGCAUUCAACCUGUUCCCAAGGAGCGGCAAACACAAAUUUGUGGUCCUGACAUUGUUACCAACGUUUUGAUGUAGCAGCGUGUACGAAGUUAUUACAGAAAGAAUAAAUGCGACCAUUGACAGUGUGCCGCACACAUUAAAAAUUUCAAGAUAAACAAUUUCAACCAAGAAAUAAAUGAUAAAUAGCG
Molecule: non-coding RNA, 1197 nt
Organism: Dermacentor albipictus
Lineage: Eukaryota; Metazoa; Arthropoda; Arachnida; Ixodida; Ixodidae
Source: RefSeq, a predicted model, not a curated record